RNAcentral lists this ribosomal RNA (427 nucleotides) under uncultured Caryophanales bacterium. RNAcentral describes it as "bacterial SSU rRNA". It matches the Rfam family "Bacterial small subunit ribosomal RNA", at positions 356 to 774 of the family's 1533-position model. Lineage: Bacteria; Bacillati; Bacillota; Bacilli; Caryophanales. The record is from RNAcentral.
AGGGAAUCUUCCGCAAUGGACGAAAGUCUGACGGAGCAACGCCGCGUGAGCGAAGAAGGUCUUCGGAUCGUAAAGCUCUGUUGUCAGGGAAGAACAAGUACCGUUCGAACAGGGCGGUACCUUGACGGUACCUGACCAGAAAGCCACGGCUAACUACGUGCCAGCAGCCGCGGUAAUACGUAGGUGGCAAGCGUUGUCCGGAAUUAUUGGGCGUAAAGCGCGCGCAGGCGGUCUCUUAAGUCUGAUGUGAAAGCCCACGGCUCAACCGUGGAGGGUCAUUGGAAACUGGGAGACUUGAGUGCAGAAGAGGAGAGCGGAAUUCCACGUGUAGCGGUGAAAUGCGUAGAGAUGUGGAGGAACACCAGUGGCGAAGGCGGCUCUCUGGUCUGUAACUGACGCUGAGGCGCGAAAGCGUGGGGAGCAAACA